GACGAACGCUGGCGGCGUGCUUAACACAUGCAAGUCGAGCGGUAAGGCCUUUCGGGGUACACGAGCGGCGAACGGGUGAGUAACACGUGGGUGAUCUGCCCUGCACUUCGGGAUAAGCCUGGGAAACUGGGUCUAAUACCGGAUAUGACCUCCUAUCGCAUGGUGGGUGGUGGAAAGAUUUAUCGGUGCAGGAUGGGCCCGCGGCCUAUCAGCUUGUUGGUGGGGUAAUGGCCUACCAAGGCGACGACGGGUAGCCGACCUGAGAGGGUGACCGGCCACACUGGGACUGAGACACGGCCCAGACUCCUACGGGAGGCAGCAGUGGGGAAUAUUGCACAAUGGGCGAAAGCCUGAUGCAGCGACGCCGCGUGAGGGAUGACGGCCUUCGGGUUGUAAACCUCUUUCAGCAGGGACGAAGCGCAAGUGACGGCACCUGCAGAAGAAGCACCGGCUAACUACGUG
Molecule: ribosomal RNA, 462 nt
Filed under: uncultured bacterium
Lineage: Bacteria
Description: partial 16S ribosomal RNA
Rfam family: Bacterial small subunit ribosomal RNA
Source: RNAcentral